GGACGAGGGAGAGCUCCCCCUUGAGCUCCUCGAAUGGCUGGAAGACCACGCCGCUGAGCACCUCCUUCCCUUUCCCGGCGGCCCUGCACACUGCCCCGGGUCCGGCACCACGCGGCACAGGCAGCCAGACGGAAGCAGGGGUCGAGGCCGCGGCGGCGAGAUAGGUAGGCGCGGCGGCGGCGGCGGCCGGGGCAACCCUAGGAGGAAGCAUGGCGGAGAGGCGCGUGUGGCGUUUGCUUCCGGAGGUCGCGGCGGGUGAAGAGUGAUGAGAUUAA
This 275-nucleotide unclassified non-coding RNA is filed under the name Hevea brasiliensis (rubber tree). The record is from RNAcentral. Lineage: Eukaryota; Viridiplantae; Streptophyta; Magnoliopsida; Malpighiales; Euphorbiaceae.